Stegostoma tigrinum is the source of this 2417-nucleotide long non-coding RNA. RefSeq lists it as uncharacterized. The transcript is spliced from 3 exons. The record is from RefSeq and is a predicted model, not a curated record. Lineage: Eukaryota; Metazoa; Chordata; Chondrichthyes; Orectolobiformes; Stegostomatidae.
GGUGCAGAUCCAUUCUCCUGAGCCUUACGCACUUUUGUAGAGAACACAACGCAGCGGAGAAUGCGAUGCAAGUGAGCAAAGUCUAUUCAGCGCUGUCAAAACAGAUGGCAGCAAAUGGCACAAAAUCAUAUACGCAUGAUGUCAGUUCAUAACAUCUUGUCGACAUACUUGAUUUAAUCGUCUAGCUGCCGAUUCCGCUUGUGAACCCAUAUGGUCGCAUAGCCAAAUGAACCUCUUAGAUUGCAUUUACAAUCUGGCACUUUAAUCAUUGCAAGCAGUGAUAAAAGAGCACAGGCUUGGCACUGGGGAUACAGGCAGUAAUAUAAAGGGAGAAGCUUUGAAACUUUUGGCAGGUCUGCACAAAAAGGAUGGCAGGUACGAUAUGUGUCACUUACAUUUUUGUGGUGGCUGCGAUGAAUCACGUGACUGUUCCAGGUUUAUCCUCGGAUGUUUGAAGGUCAAAAAUAUCACUUCCCCACUAUCUAUCCCUCAGUAGCAAGUUGGCCCAGCUGGAGCACUUACUCGACCACACAGAGUGAAGAAUCAAGUACAGUCAUUUCAGAACUGGAACUCGAUAUUGACUGGAUCAGGAGACAUCAGUCUGUCUUAAGACAUCAAUGGAGUUGGGUGUUUGACCUUAACUCAACAGCUCCCGUGGGCACUUUUACCAAGACUCAAAUAUUUAUUUUCAGAUCAUUUGAUUUGAAUUCGGACUCAAUGGUGAGAGUACAAGUCAUUGCACUUGCAAUGUAACUCAGGCCCCUUGUUUACCAAUUCAACGACAGAGUCACAACAAGAUUGCAUCAUGUUUCCAGUGAACUCAACCACAGGAAAUCAGCUAGUACCCUUCACAAGAUGAAAAUGGAAAAUAUCAAUGUAUUAGUUUGUGAGAUGCUGGCUAGAUUGAUGUGUCAUUGUGACUUGAUUUCUUGGCUCCAAAAGUUCAUGUAGAAUUAACACAAAGAUUUAAGUUCAUGUUGAGAAGAUGCUUUGAAGCUAAUUAACAACACUAGCUACUUACAUUGGUAUAACUUUGCACAAUUCUAUAUAUUUUAGGUUCUGUGCUUACUGGUUAUUACCAUAUAUAGUAUUCAUAAAUGAUUGACCUUGAAAACAGAAAAUGCUGGAAAAAGCUCAGCAGGUCCGGCCAUAUCUGUUGAGAGAAAUUGGACUUAACGUUUCAUAUUGACUGACCCUUCCUCAGAUUACUGAGGUCUGAGAAAUUCUGACAAAGGGUGACUCGACUCAAAAUAUUAACUCUGAUUUCUCUUUACAGAUGCUGCCAGAUCUGAUGAGCUUUACUAGCAAUUUCUAUUUAUGUUUCUGAUUUCCAACAUCUGCAUUUUUUGUUUUAAACUGAUUGACUUCACACACUAUAUUGACUACUUAUGCUGAGAGUGAUAAAGAUUGUAAUUGUGUCCUUGAAUGUGGGAAAUAUCAGUGAUGAUUUUGCACCAUGAGUCAGAGUAAUCUCACUUGUUAUAAAAUGUUCUCUUGAUUUUCGAAACUGUUGGCUGGACUUGAUGUCAUAGCCUGAAAAAUUUGCAGCUGACAACCUUGUUAAUUGUGAUAAUGUGUAAAUCCUUGAUAAUAGUUAGGUCUGCUGUUUCAAUGUUAUUACAGGUUUCGAGUGUCCAUACUGAUGAGCCAUAUUAAUCUUUAAGGCCUCUGAUACCAUUGCAUGAAAUGCCAGGUCCAUAAUAAACAAAUAGCUGUUAGAAAGUGUGCAGCAUCAUGUUGUCCAGUUUCCUGAGUUUGUCUUGUAAAAUGUGUGAAGGAAUAAUAUUUUCACUUACAAUCCCGGCAUUCAGUGCACGUUGGCUACUCCCUCUGGGAUAUAACACUUAGAUGGAGGAAAAAGCUUCAGCUUUAAUGCGGGUGUGCAUGUGGCAUAUUAAAUUGACCAUAUGUAUUGUCUGACUGGGGUCUGUAAGUUGUGACAUUGUAGAUACCUCUCGGACUUUCCCAUCAUGCUUGUAGACCUUCCUUUACAAUGUUCUUUGGUUGACUCUUCCUUACCUGCUGCUGGGAGCAGUGUGUGGCCUUUGGGUUUCUGUAGGCAAUUAGAUUUCUCAGCCUAAUAUUUUGUGUAGAACAUGGGUUGCAUUUGGCUUGAAGUAUUGGAGAAGUUUUCAGUGGGUAAGACAUGCCAGAUUUCAUUCAGGACUGUGAUGUUUUGCCGAGCCUGUUGACAACAGUAAUAGUUGCUGCAAAGUCAAGGACCUCGAGAUGUUGCUGAUAAUCAUCAGAAUUUACAUCCUUCUCCUUGCCAGAAUAUCAAGGGAACAUUGUUUGGAAUUUUCAGGAUUGUUUUUUGAAGGAUCUACUGGAUAUAAAAGACAAUGACCAUUUUAAUUAACCUUCCAGCUAAGUUAGCUUCAGUGAAGUUACAUUCUGUGCAUUAACAUUAACAUUUG